GCUUUGCGUUUAAGUGGUACUUGAGGCUGGAUGUGCUGCGGUGGUAGGAGAAGGGUUUACGGCAGAAGCCGCACAGCACCACGCGCCUGUCCACGCUGCCGUCCGGACACUUCUUAAACCUGCUCCAGGUCCAUAGAGUCCAGAUCCACCCCUGAGAACUGAGCAGCGUCUGAUGGUGGGACUGUUCCAGGAUUCCUGCAAAAGAAGAGUGGAAACAUUAUGGCCCUGAAUUGAUUCUUAGGUUGCGUUGCUGCAUACUAAACCUGGAUCAGUGUUACUGAUGAACGGAACAAUGGAGUUACUGAUGCCACUGGGUUCACCACCAGUGGAUGUGGUGUUUGCAGUUUCAUUCACAUGGUUAGAGUUGACAUCUGCAAAUGAGGGAUGUUGUACAGACAGAAGUACUGGGGAACCGACUCCAUCAGCUGUGAUUUGUCUCUGUUCAUCUUCUUUAUUUUCAUUGCUUUGUGUGGCACAGCUGUCCAGUUCCCGCCUUUUUUCUUUCAUCAGAUCUCCAGUGGUAGCUGAAUCUGAUGUGGAAGCAACGUGAGCAACAUCUAUGAUGGAUAAGUCACUUUUUUUCUGAAACAGUACUGUGGUGUCCUACUUACUCUCUGCAUCCUCAACCAGUGGCCUGUGCAAAAUGCCUGUCAAGAAAUAGAGGAGGACCUGAAAUACAGA
Long non-coding RNA from Sphaeramia orbicularis (orbiculate cardinalfish), 681 nucleotides. RefSeq lists it as uncharacterized. The transcript is spliced from 3 exons. NCBI's taxonomy places the organism in Eukaryota, Metazoa, Chordata, Actinopteri, Kurtiformes, Apogonidae. The record is from RefSeq and is a predicted model, not a curated record.